RNAcentral lists this ribosomal RNA (450 nucleotides) under uncultured bacterium. RNAcentral describes it as "partial 16S ribosomal RNA". It matches the Rfam family "Bacterial small subunit ribosomal RNA", at positions 354 to 796 of the family's 1533-position model. The record is from RNAcentral.
GUGGGGAAUAUUCCGCAAUGGACGAAAGUCUGACGGAGCAACGCCGCGUGAGUGAUGAAGGUUUUCGGACUGUAAAGCUCUGUUGUUUAGGACGAAAGUGCCUGUUGCAAAUAGUUACAGGUAUUGACGGUACUGAACGAGGAAGCCACGGCUAACUACGUGCCAGCAGCCGCGGUAAUACGGAGGUGGCAAGCGUUGUCCGGAAUUAUUGGGCGUAAAGAGCAUGUAGGCGGGAAUCUAAGUCUGUUGUGAAAAUGCGGGGCUCAACCCCGUAUUGCGAUGGAAACUGGGUUUCUUGAGUGCAGGAGAGGAAAGGGGAAUUCCCAGUGUAGCGGUGAAAUGCGUAGAUAUUGGGAGGAACACCAGUGGCGAAGGCGCCUUUCUGGACUGUGUCUGACGCUGAGAUGCGAAAGCCAGGGUAGCGAACGGGAUUAGAUACCCCGGUAGUCC